GCCGGAUCCGUUGACGGGCCGUUUUUGAUUAAGCGGCCUGUCGGCGACCGGCGAUAUAACCUUGAUCAAACUUGAGUGCUCAAGGCAGGCUGUUUAUGCCUGAAAAUAUAUUCAUGGAAUUGGAGAAUAUGUCUCUGACUCGAUUUGGUUGGUUUGCGAGUCGAAGGGAAAUGAUUAAUAGGGACUGACGGAGGCAUUCGUAUUGCGGCGCGAGGGGUGAAAUCCUGUGACCGUCGCAAGACGAACUACUGCGAAAGCAUUUGCCGAGAAUGUUUUCAUUAGUCAAGAACGAAAGUUAGAGGUUCGAAGGCGAUCAGAUACCGCCCUAGUUCUAACCGUAAACGAUGUCAACCUGCAAUCCGCAAUGGUCACAUCAUGGACCGUGCGGGCAGCUCCUCCCGGGGAAACCAGAGUUUGCGGACUCCGGGGGGAGUAUAGGUGCAAACCAGAAACUUAAAGGAAUUGACGGAAGGGCACCACCAGGAGUGGAGCUUGCGGCUUAAUUUGACUCAACACGGGACAACUUACCAGGCCCAGACACUGUAAGGAUUGACAGACUGAGAGCUCUCUCAUGAUUCAGUGGGUGGUGGUGCAUGGCCGUUCUUAGUUGGUGGAGUGAUUUGUCUGGUUUAUUCCGAUAACGAACGAGACUCUGGCCUACUAAACUUGAUACCGUUCGUACUUGUACGUCGGUAUGCUUCUUAGAGGGAUCGUCGGCGCCUUAGCCGAACGAAAGAGAGCAAUAACAGGUCUGUGAUGCCCUUAGAUGUUCUGGGCCGCCCGCGUGUUACACUGAGGCAGACAGUGCGCGCACUCAAACGUCCCUCUCCGCAAGGAGCGGGCAAACGUUUGAAUCUGUCCCGUGAUUGGAAUUGGGGAUUGCAAUUAUCCCCCAUGAACGAGGAAUUCCUAGUAAGCGCAAGUCACCAGCUUGCGCUGAUUAAGUCCCUGCCCUUUGUAC
RNAcentral lists this ribosomal RNA (961 nucleotides) under Sacculinidae sp. Japan 11. Its description in RNAcentral is "SSU rRNA". It matches the Rfam family "Eukaryotic small subunit ribosomal RNA", at positions 696 to 1665 of the family's 1831-position model. Lineage: Eukaryota; Metazoa; Arthropoda; Thecostraca; Sacculinidae. The record is from RNAcentral.